AGGGGUGCUUCCAUCGUGAAGAAUCUGGAGCAGGUGCUGCAUGGCUGUCGUCAGCUCGUGUCGUGAGAUGUUGGGUUAAGUCCCGCAACGAGCGCAACCCUUGCCUUUAGUUGCCAGCAGUUCGGCUGGGCACUCUAAAGGGACUGCCGGUGUUAAACCGGAGGAAGGUGGGGAUGACGUCAAGUCCUCAUGGCCUUUAUGACCAGGGCUACACACGUACUACAAUGGCCGAUACAAAGGGCAGCGACACUGCGAGGUGAAGCCAAUCCCGUAAAAUCGGUCUCAGUCCGGAUUGGAGUCUGCAACUCGACUCCAUGAAGUUGGAAUCGCUAGUAAUCGUGGAUCAGCAUGCCACGGUGAAUACGUUCCCGGGCCUU
This 377-nucleotide ribosomal RNA is filed under the name uncultured Desulfobulbus sp. Its description in RNAcentral is "bacterial SSU rRNA". It matches the Rfam family "Bacterial small subunit ribosomal RNA", at positions 1008 to 1382 of the family's 1533-position model. The record is from RNAcentral. Lineage: Bacteria; Pseudomonadati; Thermodesulfobacteriota; Desulfobulbia; Desulfobulbales; Desulfobulbaceae.